UACGUAGGUGACAAGCGUUGUCCGGAUUUACUGGGCGUAAAGAGCGCGCAGGCGGUCGAUCAAGUCGAGUGUGAAAGCCCCCGGCUCAACUGGGGAGGGUCAUUCGAUACUGAUCGACUCGAAGGCAGGAGAGGGUAGUGGAAUUCCCGGUGUAGUGGUGAAAUGCGUAGAUAUCGGGAGGAAGACCAGUGGCGAAGGCGGGUCUCUGGACAGUUCCUGACGCUGAGGCGCGAAGGCCAGGGGAGCAAACGGG
Molecule: ribosomal RNA, 253 nt
Filed under: uncultured bacterium
Lineage: Bacteria
Description: partial 16S ribosomal RNA
Rfam family: Bacterial small subunit ribosomal RNA
Source: RNAcentral